Long non-coding RNA from Heterocephalus glaber (naked mole-rat), 538 nucleotides. Lineage: Eukaryota; Metazoa; Chordata; Mammalia; Rodentia; Bathyergidae. The record is from Ensembl.
CUGUAAAGCAACAGUGGCCAAGCCCGGAGACGGGCCAGAGUGUGAGGUCAGGGCACGGGAGCAGGAAGAAGAGGAAAAGGAAAAGACAGAGACGGAGGGGGCAGAAGGGGAGGCAGAGCAGGGACAAAGGCCUGGCAGCUCUCAGCGGUAAUGACGUGGGGGGCAGCAAAUUCUCACCUCUCUGAUUGGCCAAAUAGCCUUAGGAGCACUGGGCCCCAGGUACAGGAUGCUCCACUGAGAAAGCGAAUAUCAGGGCAUCUGGGGAGCCAGGUGAGUGGGACACUGGGGAAAGCUUCACAAUGGACACGUUCGCGGCUGCAGCGAUUCUGAGGAUUUACCCGGAGGAGAAUACAGAUUCUCCUGAGUGGAUCCCUCUCCAGUGUCCUGUCGCUGUGGCCGGGAAGCUGUUAGAUCACUCAACAACUGGAACGUUACUUCUGAAAAGCCAAUGGGUCACAGGAGCAGAGCUGACCCAUGCUGCGCCGGGUCAGAGGCGCACGCUUUAGACGCCCCCAUGUCCGGGUUUCAUCGAAUCCUC